Long non-coding RNA from Amphiprion ocellaris (clown anemonefish), 6356 nucleotides. The record is from Ensembl. NCBI's taxonomy places the organism in Eukaryota, Metazoa, Chordata, Actinopteri, Pomacentridae.
CGUAGAGCCGCCUACCACUCCCAUGGCGUUCCCAGCCUGUGCCGGGCUGGGCCUGCACUGAUUUAUGUGGCAGUCCUGUGUCAUACUCUCGACCUGAAAAGGAUUUGCACUCCUAUAUUUACCAGGGUGGUCAGGGCAGCCCUCUGGAAACACAGAAAGCCCAGUCUCCGGGCCUCGCUCCCAGACAGUCGUUUCACAACUCUGUGCCAAUAACGUGGACAUUUUGGACCUUACCAGAAUCGGAUGAGGCUCCAGUGUUUCCGUAGCGGGAUGUUUUAGCGGUGCAGAGGUCAGAGUCGACGCGCUCGCGUCUACGCAGCCACAUGGCCACGUUUUGGUAUGCAGAUACACAGACGCAGGCUGAAGGAGAUCUCAGGGAGGAGCUGUGCCGGCUCCAUGUCCUUAACCUGUUUGCAGAAGGGCAACGGAGGGCGGAGCGAAGGGAAAGGCAACAUACCCUUCGUCCGAAAUGGAACACCAGGUGGCAGGAAGUGGGCAGGAGGCCUUUGAAGAUGACCCCUGGUCUCCGCGUUGGGAUGGUCUCGGCGAUCGAUUCAGCCAGAGAUGGCAGGGAGGGGAGCCAGGUGCCCCCAGAGGGUCUUCAGACCACGCAGAUCUAUUAUGGGCGAGGAGGAGAGAGUCGGCUGGGGCCCAGCCCCACUGCUCCCAGUCAUAUCACUGUGGACACAGCCAGAGUCAACUGGCUGCAUCCUAACAAGCAGGCAAACACUGAGAACAGUCUGGUGCACAACAAACUCAACAGGCUCUGCCUCCAUACUGUAAGCUUUAGGAAGGGCUUCCACUGCAGACUGCUGUCAAAUCUGUAUAUAAAACAUUGCAUAACACUGAAUAAUUGGUGUGAGCCCAUACAUGCUAGUAUGCUACGUCUGACACAUGUAACACAUGCAGGUCAGCGAAGAGCAUUUGGAAAUGAAAGAAUCAGAGACACAGAAAUGAGCUUGUUUCGUAUAUUAAUAUAUUUAUUUUCUUACAACCACAGAUUGCAGUUGAGUGACUUGAGAAACUGUGGUGCAGAAGUUGUGGGCUGAAAUGAUAAAUCAACAACAAAAACAAGAUUCAAUAAUACCACAUAACAGAAAGAGCGAGGAAUCAUCAAAAAAGGGACACGAACAAAAAGAAAGCACAAAAGCAGAAAAUUAAAUCAGCAGAUGUUUGUGUGCAAGUGUGCACACGUGAUUGUGGCGAGCUGCUAAGUGAUCUGGUAAAUUGCCAACAUUACACUGAAUUUGUCAGAAAGAAAAUAUCAGCAAAUACUGAACAGCCAUUGUAUGUUUUGGGAUAGUUUUGCCAGUUAACACUAAUGCAAAAACAUCCAGUGAUAAAGCUGAAAUAAUGAGAGGAAUCAGUAGGUAGAUUUGCACGUCUAUGAAUCAGGCUUCCAUUCAUAGUGUUCAUCUAGGGCAGCUCCAGAAAUGCGCGGGCUGCUUUGUAUUUUGGCCAGCUUUGGAGGAGGUGAGUGCUAUCAGUGUCUACAUGCUCAUCCCUCUGUAUUUCUGUGUUUGCUGCUCACAACAUGUAAGCAAACACACAUGUGCACACACAAUUAAACUCACAAACAGAAACUCAAAUCCUGAUCCCCCACCCUCUCCAUGCUUCCCUCCCCAGGCAAGGAAAUGAAAGCUGGGCACUGGGAGAAGGAUGGCUGCAAGAAAUGAAGACGUGUCUGAUUUCCUCAGCAACCAAUGAUGUUGCAGCGCUCUGUACUCUCUGCCCUCUGAUAGGUCUUUGUCACUCUCUUCAUCUUGAGGCCCAUGUCAUUCCCUCUAAUCCCCCUCCCAAACACAAGCAGGCCAAUCCCGAGACAAGACUCAGGGGCUGGGGAGGGAUGAAGCAGCACUGGCUGGGAAAGAGUGAGGGAUGCAGCUCAGGAGGAGAGAAAGGGAGCACCAGAAGCUGAUGGUGGUGUGAGAAGGAGCCAAUGUGUUGUUAUUAAUAAAGCAUUAAAAAAAGUGAGCACAUCAAAGCAUACAGGGGCUAUGCUAUCAUACAUGAAAGUAACGCACUAUGGCUUAAUGUUUCCUAAGGCAUGUUAUGGCGACGCGGCUUUGAUUUGAAAUGCAUUGUGUGGAAAAUGGAUUUACAGGAGUGGGGAGAGAAAGCCUGGUGUGGGAUCAGACCAUAAUUUAAAACCUGACCUCAUAGGCUCUUCAAAGUGUCUGUGAGCGUGGAUAUUUAGGACGUCCUUACAGCGUGUGUGAGAGACCCAAACCACAACAACAUGAACAACAAAUAACACACACAUGCAUGUAAGGGAUGCAGAGAACACCUGCAAAAACAAAGAAUGAGAAAUUACUAUCAAAUCCAACAUGUACCAUUUCACGUUUUGAUUAGCAAAUAUGAUUGGAACUAAUUUUUAUUCUCGCCUUUUUGAGCGCACAGGGGUCGCACCUGAUUGUACUGUGCUCCUUCACCAAUCAAAGCCUGCAGGAAGUGAGGCAUUUUUUUUCUCCAUUGUGCUCCCAUGGCCAGGUAAUUAUCCUAAUCUACCUUCCUUCUGUGCUCCAGCUCCUGUGCCACACUAGCUCAGACCACCUCUGUGGCUUCAUUAUCAGGGUUGGGACUCACUAAUGGCUCGACGGCCUCACUGUGCAGGCUGCUGGCGAAGAGAAACCAGGGGGAGAAGGAAAAGGAAGAAGAAGAAGAAGCAGGAGGAGGAGAACGGGGAAGAGAGGGAGGAAAAAUGAGUCGCUAAAGAGCAAGGGGUUGCCCUGAAGGUUAACAUCUCAAUCAUGAGGGGACAAUGCUCUCUAGUCAAAUGGUUUCGGCUUCUUGAAAGUCAAGAUGAAGCCACAGGGCACAACAGUGUCAAAGAGGCAGCCGGGAGAUCGGCUCUCUGCACCGCAGGAUGACCAGGACACGUGUGUUUGAGGUGGCAGGUUGCUGUGUUUACGUGUGCACGCCACACACACCCCCACCUUGCGUGCUGGAAACAGCUAUAACCUCACAACAUACAGAAGGACUGGGGGUGGGAUAUCAGUUUCACUUUAUUUUUUUCUGACAAAUGACACUCUGACAGUUGGAAAAAAUGUUGGGGUCCCUGAACAGAUUUCUCAGUUACAAAAAUAAAAUGUGUUGGAUCAGACAAAGACAGACAUUUUACAUUCUACUUUUGAACCCCAAUGAGAGCACUGACAAAUGCCACCCCACCCCCACUCCGUCUGUGCCAUGAUUGUUUUUUCUCUCCAGAAAUGUCAUAUAGUUAAGAGGUGAUAAUUCUAUAUGGCACAAACAGACACUGACUUCUUCCAAGUGUACAUAGCAUAUAGGCUGACAGAUUGAGAUGGUGUAACAUGUCUUUGCAUCACUCUAAAUAGGCAUGCGAGCUUUAAACAUUCUUUAUAUACCCUGAGAUUCCAUUGGAAACCUUCUGAAAUGGAAAAAAGAACUCAAAUGCAUUGCACUGGAGGUGAAAAAAAAUGUUCAGAGGUUAAAAAUAGCGCAGACCUCAGUGAUACGUGAAAAACUGUAGUACUCUUAUGUGUGUGCAGGUGUAGCCUACAUUCACGAAAACUCUCGAAAUGCAGAAAACUGCAUUGAUACACAUCGUACUGAAUCCCCUGAGGGUUGAUGUUAACGCUUAGUCUGCAGCGCAACAGAUCCUAUGUUAAAUGCACAUUUAAAGAAACGCUUAUGUCAGUUUCUAUGAAUCUUGUGAUGCAUUUUUUUUGCUUCCAACAGUUUAAAGAGAAACUUUUGUCAGAUUUAUGUCACGUCAACACUUGAAUUUAGCGUCUUUCAGAGCCCUUAUGUUUUAAGUUAGGUUAAACAUGAAAUGCAAAACUUAAUUGUAGCUGCUGCUUUGGUGAUUUACUCUAUAAUGAAGAAUUGUAGGUAAGUGAGAGUCGGUGGCUUUUUAAAAUUCAAAUAAGACAAACACUUCUGAAACACCUCCACAUUGAAACAUCCUCUUUCACAGAUGAAAAUUAAGCCAUGCUCUUUUGCAGACUGGUAGUAGUGUGAGUGGAGCCAAAUGAUCUGCAAAUGAGGCGAAACGUUUAAGUAGCUUAGGGGACUGCAGGAAGUCAACCAUGAAACACGUGGUUCUUCCAAAGCAGUGUAAAAAUUAAUACUGGUGCUCAAAAAUACCUAAAACUAGAAAUAUAACUGGACAAUAGGAGGUCAAAAUACAGUGAGUGGAUUUGAGUUAAUGGGUCAGUGCAACCAAAUUACUUAUUUUCUCACUAACAUAAAUCUAAACAUACAGAAAGUUGGGGUUUUGUUGUUUAGUAUUUGGAGAUUUCUGUCUUUCUCUUAAAUAUUCACUGAGAGGUCUGUUCAAGAACCAGUGUAACAAGAGCAUCGUUUCCGUUCAAUGAUUUGGGUGAAAGGACUGUUUAAAGCUCAGGUAGGCAUUUUUCCCAUAAUACCCUGUCAGGAUAUUGUGACUCAAGUAGUCUGAGAGAGAAUUUUGCACUUCCUCUUUGUUCUUUGGAAAAUCUAACCUGAAAUGUCAGUCACAGGGCGUUUCAUGCAGAUCAUUUGAGAAAGUAUAAAAAGCAACAAGUCUACAGUGGAAAUAGGAGGUGUGGUGCAAUGGGACAAACAGAGGGAUCAAAACCUGAUACAAGCUAGAAGUGAAUAUAAGGCUGAUUACUUUUGUGUAAUUGAAGCUGCUGAGGGGCUGUUUGUUGUUGUUGUUUGUUUGUUGAUCAGAGCUUUCCAGAUUACUGCCUACUGCAGCUUUAAGACAUAGUUUGCAUGAUGGCAGCAAGAACUAAAGAAGUAACGUAACCUGGAUGAAGAACUUGCCUGAGUCACUUCAAAUUCAAAGUAACGUCAACACAAAUUAAAAUGAUGAUUUGAAAGUGUAUUAAAUGGUAGCAGAGGCAUCAAAUUAGUGUAAAACAUUUGUUCACUGCUCAUCUUGUUAAUCUGUAUUACUGCUCAUCGUGCUCUCUUUAGUGUACACCACAUUUAGUCAUUUUUUAAAAUUAUUCAGACGUACCACAAUUCACCACAUUUCAACUUACACUGUCAUUAACCAGUCUGAGUUUUAUAUAUAAAAAAAAGGUCUGUAUUUUUAAAAGUAGUCCAAUAGGGCAAUUCUAAGCUCAAACUAUGUUAAUACCUUCCUAAUUGCAGGAAUUGCAAAGAAAUCCACCGCAAAUGAAAAUCUAAGAGGGCAAAUUGGUACAUUGGCAUAUAUAAUUUAUUGAGCAAAUGUUGAAAUGGCACUUUUAUAGAAAAGGAGGUUCUCUUCCUUCUUAGGUGAAACACUGAAAUGGUUCCAGUAUGAAGUACCUCUUAGGACACCUAUAUUAGGUAAGCAUAUAAACGGCUUAAUUAAGGUGACAGUAAAUGUGCAUGCUUAGGGCUCAGGAAGAUAUUAAUACAUUCUCCACCCCAACAUUGUUGUCAGAUGGCACAUGCAGUUAUCAGAAGGGAACAACUCUGUGUGGGGCUUGGUGCCGACAAGGAUGAAGACAUGCUUUAUUUUUUGUCGUGGUAAUGUGAUGAUACUUGAUGCCAUAACAGCAUUUUUUUGCGCAGGAUUCUGAAUCAGAAACGUGCUAAAUAUAAAUAUGCUAAAAUAGUUUCAAAUGGGGUUUCGGGAAAGAAAGGGAGAAAGAAGAAAGAUCUGCUUCAAAUGUUUUCCCUUUCUUCCCCGGAGAACUAUGUUCGUUUAGCAAAGAGUUCUUGAAGGUGAGAGAAGCGAACCUUAUUCUGGCCUUUCUAGGUCAGAAGAGAGCUUGAAAUGUAAAGGUCUGUUUAUUGGAGCACUUCAGUUGUGUUGUAGCAGAUCACAAGCUUUUGUUUUGUUGUCAAGCUAGUAGCUGGUUGCUUUCUGCAUCAGGUCGAGUGCUGAGCAAUGUGACUGUAAACCAUUAAAUAUUGUGACUUCUCAGAGUGUAAAAUACAUGCAAAGGAGGAUACAGCCAGCUGAAGGCAGGAGGUGGAACAGUUUUUCCCACCCCCAAAAUUCUUGCAUGUGAAAACCUGAGCUGCUUCCAUGAAAGGCUCUUAAAGGCAUGCAAAAAUCUGCUCUUCUGCAGCUUCUUUGCUUUGACAAACUAAAAUAGGAACCAGCUAGCACUAGUGUUCCUCAUAAACAAGCAUCUAUGACAGAAGAAAUAUGUUUUUUUUUCUCGCUCUCUAAAGACUGCUGAAAAAUACACAAACAGCACUGACAGAGAAUACGGCGAACAUAACAAUGUCAGGCAAGAUGUUUGUCAAUCUCUGGAUUAAUUGCAAGCUGCAUGUUUACAUGCACCUGUACAGAAAUGUAAUGUAUCUGCUAAAUUGUGGCUGGCAUUUUGUGAAAAAGUGUAAGUUUACAGGAUUGAGGAAACAAACACAUACAAGCAGGGCUGUUAUAACUUUUUUGGGAGCCCUGU